AUUGAACGCUGGCGGCAGGCCUAACACAUGCAAGUCGAGCGGAUGAAGGGUGCUUGCUCCUGGAUUCAGCGGCGGACGGGUGAGUAAUGCCUAGGAAUCUGCCUGGUAGUGGGGGAUAACGUCUGGAAACGGGCGCUAAUACCGCAUACGUCCUGAGGCUGCAACUGGGGGAUCUUCGGACCUUACGCUAUCAGAUGAGCCUAGGCCGGACUGGUUAGUUGGUGGGGUAAAGGCCUACUAAGGCGACGAUCCGUAACUGGCCUGCGUGGAUGAUCGGUCACACUAGAGCUGGGACAGGGUCCAGACGCCUACGGGAGGCAGCAGUGGGGAAUGUUAGGCAGCGGGCGAAAACCUGAUCCAGCCGUGCCACGUGUGUGAAAGAGGUCUUCGGAUUGUAAAGCACUUUAAGUGGGGGGGAAGGGCAGUAAGUUAAUACCUUGCGGGUUUGACGGUACCAACAGAAUAAGCACCGGCUAACUUCGUG
This 484-nucleotide ribosomal RNA is filed under the name uncultured bacterium. RNAcentral describes it as "partial 16S ribosomal RNA". It matches the Rfam family "Bacterial small subunit ribosomal RNA", at positions 30 to 507 of the family's 1533-position model. The record is from RNAcentral.